AGUAGUUGGUAUGGUCCGAGACAGCAUGGCUGCUGCACUUCGGCCCUCGAAUCGAGUUCUCCUGCAGGCGCUGCAGAUUUUGGUGUAUCCUGGGGUGGGAGGCUCCGGCUCUGUCAGAUGCCGCUGCCCUCUCGGAGCUAAAAGAUACCUACUUACAGAUAAUGUGGUGAAAUUAAAAGAAUUUCAACAAAAGAAAGUGGCUGUUGCAUGUAAUCUUUCUGGCACUAAAGAAACGUAUUUUAGAAACUUGAAAGAGAAACUGACCCAGAACAAGCUCAUCUUGAAGGGGGAGUUGAUAACCUUACUUCAUUUGUGUGAGUCCCGGGACCAUGUGGAGCUGGCUAAAAAUGUCAUUUACAGGUACCAUGCAGAGAACAAAAAUUUCACUUUGGGGGAGUAUAAAUUUGGACCGCUUUUUGUGAGGUUGUGUUACGAGUUGGAUCUUGAGGAAUCUGCAGUGGAGCUCAUGAAAGACCAGCAUUUACGAGGUUUCUUCUCAGACUCCACAUCAUUCAAUAUUUUGAUGGAUAUGUUAUUUAUCAAAGGCAAAUAUAAAAGUGCUUUGGAAGUAUUGAUAGAGAUGAAAAACCAAGAUGUGAGGUUCACGAAAGAUACCUAUGUUCUUGCUUUUGCAAUUUGCUACAAACUGAAUAGCCCCGAGUCUUUCAAAAUCUGUACUACAUUAAGAGAAGAAGCUCUACUCAAAGGAGACAUUCUCUCCAGGAGAGCAUCCUGUUUUGCUGUGGCAUUAGCUUUGAAUCAGAAUGAGGUGGCAAAAGCUAUGUCCAUUUUUUCUCAAAUCAUGAAUCCAGAAAGCAUAGCCUGCACUAAUUUAAAUAUUAUAAUCCAUAUCCAGUCAAAUAUGUUGGGAAAUGUGAUAGAGACUCUAAAAAAUGCUGCAGAAGAAAAUUUAUCAAAAUUUGUGAAAAGACGUGCGUUCUCGGAGGAAGUGCUGGCCAAAGUGAGGGAAAAAGUGAAGGAUGUGCCUGCCCUUGUGGCCAAAUUUGAUGAGAUCUAUGGGACACUGCACAUCACUGGCCAGAUCACCACUGAUUCUUUGGAUGCUGUGCUCUGCUACACCCCCAGGGACAGGAAAUCCCACACAUUGCUAUUAAACAAGAGGAUGGUCAGCCGUCGCACCUUCCAGCCACUCAGCCAGUCCCUGUUGGCUGAGUAACCCUGGUUUCAGUCCACCUAUGGAUCUGAGGGACCUGCUUCUAGUGAGUUACUGCCUUUCCUGAGAAGCCAGGCAUCGCACUUCAGCAGACAGUGUGCUGACACUUGGUCUUCUCCUGAAAUUCCCAAAUUCACUGAAUGGUACCAUGCCGAUCUCUGAGAAGUUAUGUUGCACCACUGUGAAGGUCUAGAUGCAAGCUUGGCUCCCUCAGAAAGGCGCUUCCCUUUUGCAUGGCUGAGGAUCCUUGAAGAAACAUGGUCAGUCUCCAGUUCAGCUUCCGGCACCAGAGUGGAACCCAGUUAAGGAAACGAUCCAUGCAAGACAGGCCCAAUCUCAACUGUAGACUGUGUCCUGGUAAGAGAAUCACAGCUUCAGGUGUUUGCUGAAUCCAGGUCUGAGAUCACAGUCCCACCUGAGGACAGGAUCCACAUAUGAGAGUCACACAUUGGCAUAAUUGAUUUGUGGUAGAGCUGAGAUUAGAAUCCAGAUUCGUAGUCUAAUAUCCUUCCCACUGUACUACAUUGUCUCUUUUCAGAGGAGAAAAAGGAGCAGCUCUUAAGAAACAGAAUAACAAGGGCCCCCAUGACUGUGUGGCCCUGGGCAUCCUCAGUUUCCUCAUUUGGUAAAUGGGGAUAAUAGUACCUGCCUCUUAGGCUUGGUGUGAGGAUGAAAUGAGAUAGGGAAUAUAAAGCAAGCAGAUAGUGGCUGGCACAUAGUACAUGCAAUAUGUUUGAAACUAGUUAAGGAAUUAUAAAAACAAAUGAGUUCUUCCUUCUGCUCAAAAAUAUUGAAUUUCUUUUCCUUGUGCUCUGUGAAACAUUGAACAGCCCCAUUUAGAGAAACAAAUUCUCUGCCCUGAUAGAAUCCUAAUUGUUUCUGUAUGUGUCUGGUGUUUUGCACAUGCAAAAAAAAAAAAAAAAGUGUUUGGAUUUCUCCACUUUCAGUCUUAGGGAAUAAUAGGGCAUACUUCCUGUCCCCUCAACUUACUUUUCAUCUUCUCCAACUCUCACAGUUCAAAUGGCUCCAGUGCUGUGAGUGAGUGUAGCCUUGGUUGUUAGCUAACAACCAUUCAUUAGCAAAAUAACCAAAUUUUGUGAGCAGUAAAUAGCAACAAGCUUCCCAAUCCCUGCUGCCCUGAGCAGCAGGUGGCUGCUUCUCAGCCGACUGGAAUAACUGGUCCAUUCCACCUGUUCCCAGAAACCUUAGUACAGAGGUACUAAGAGAGUACUAUAUGCAUAGUGUUCACCCCAAAGUAAUAGAUGAUUUUAAAGUCUUAAAAAUCCAAUAAAAAAGUGUUCAGUAUAGGUUAUGAUGGGCAUUUCAUUCUUUAAAACUCAGUAAUUCCUUUGAAAAAAUGGUGUUUCUUUAUAAGCAGUAGUUUGCCUACAUCAUUUACUUGUUUUUUUCUGCUUUGGGUUUUUUUUUUUUGAGACACAAUUUCACUCUGUCACCCAGGCUGAAGUGCAGUGGUGUGAUCUCAGCUCACUGCAACUUCUGCCUCCUGGGUUCAAGCAAUUCUCAUGCCCCAGCCUCCCAAGUAGCUGGGAAUACAGUUGUGUGCCACCACACUAGCUUAUUUUUUGUAUUUUUUUUAGUAGAGAUGGGGUUUCACCAUGUUGGCCAGGCUGGUCUCUAACUCUUAUCCUCAAGUGAUCUGCCUGCCUUGGCCUCCCAAAGUGCUGGGAUUACAGGCAUGAGCCACCACACCUGGCCUACUUAUCCCAUUAACGAAAAUAUUUGAUUGGACAGAACAUCUUAUUCCUUAACUCUGUUAUGUGCUUUUGUAGAUUGUUUUUACUUACUAUAGAUGUCUGUUGUUCCAGAGUCCCAGAAAUCAGUAUGGUGAGUUCAGCACAGUUACUAGAAGGAGACAAAAAGAUAUCUUCUUAAUUAGGUGAUAUCAGGGAUAGUUCUGGUUAUUGAUUGCUGUAUGGAAAACACUCCAAAACUCAGUGACUUUAAACAACACCAGUCAUUGAGUUAUUUCUCAUUUUCCUAAGUACUGACUGGGCUCAGCCAGACAGUUCUUAUUCGGGUUCUCAUGCAGUUAUAGUCAUCAUCAGAUUGUGGCCAGGACUGGAAUAAUCUCAAAGGCUUCCUUAGUAUUUCUGGCAGUUGAUGCUAGGACCUCAGCUAGUGCUGGGGCUGGAACAUAUCUACACAUAGCUUCACCACAGCAUGGUGGCUAGGUACUAGGAGUGACUGUCCCAAGAGGACCAGGCAGAAGCAGUUACAUUUUAUGACCUAGUCUCAGAAGUCACAUAAUAUCACUUCCACUAAAGUCCCAAGCGCCCCCAGAUUCAAAUGGAAGGAGCAUACAUCCCAUCUCAGUGGUAGGAAUUUCAAAGAAUAAAUUCUGUGAAACUGUG
RNA transcript from Symphalangus syndactylus (siamang), 3546 nucleotides. It is a transcript of the gene named pentatricopeptide repeat domain 2, with no coding region annotated. NCBI's taxonomy places the organism in Eukaryota, Metazoa, Chordata, Mammalia, Primates, Hylobatidae. The record is from RefSeq and is a predicted model, not a curated record.